This 2856-nucleotide long non-coding RNA is filed under the name Helianthus annuus (common sunflower). RNAcentral describes it as "hypothetical non coding rna". The record is from RNAcentral. Lineage: Eukaryota; Viridiplantae; Streptophyta; Magnoliopsida; Asterales; Asteraceae.
GUGACACCUCUUCCAGCAGAGAGAGAGAGACAGUGGAAAGCAAGGGGCCGGUCACGGUGGUUUCGUGGCACUAACGACCGUCAUUUUGACGCGUAAGCCGGUUCCAUUUCAUAGUCUGAAGGCAGGGAAGCCACAGGUGGUGGUGGUUUGUGCAUCCGAGGGGCGGUGAUUGGGUCCAAUGGCGUUACAGCUCGCAUGCCGGCGUCCCCGGUACUCAACAUCGACGACAGCAACUUUGAUGAAUUGGGUGGCGGUAGUUCAAGAUGUGGAUUAGGUUUUUCGGUGGCCAUUGGUGACGGCGAACAGGUUUCGUGACGAUACACGAGUGGAGAACCACGAGGGAUGUUAGAUCGGAGGUUUGCAUAGCUAGCCAGUGACGGCGCUCAAGUGCCUACGGUUCCGAUCAAGUUCUGGCAACUUUUCGGUGUAGUUUCACACUUGGAUGUUGGCAAAGGGCUGUGACAAACUGCGGCAAAUAGUAAGGAUGCAAAUACACGAGGAUCUUGAUGUGAGGUGAGAUCGCUCUUAUUAAUGUUGCAAGGCAAGGGCAUAUCUCCAAUGCUAAUACCUCAUUGAACACGUACUGAAACUGAUGAUGACAUUACUUCUUUGUUCUUAGCUGUAGUUGCAGACUCACUCCAAUGUUUGGAGCUAUUAACAUAGGUACACCAAUAUCUCUACUAUUAGAAAGGGUUCUUUACAAACAAGAAUAUAAGCAAUCUGACCUUGAAUUUUUUAUUUAUUUUUAUUUAUUUAUUUAUUUAUGUUUUUGCUAUGAGUAUUUCUGUUUUGUUUAGAUUUUUUUAUUACUUACUAAUCUAUGAAGAAAGUGAAUGCAACUCGAUUUGUGAAAUUGCCAAGGCAAUUAUGUUAUCUGCAGCCUCAUUCAUUCGGAUCAUGUUUCAUCUCUAACGGGUCAAACGGAUGAUGUUUUAAAAAUAUCGUAAAGAAACCUUUUUAUGGGCCUUAUGGUACUACAUGUUGAAAGGCGCUGAUAGUGUGUCUUUAAUAAUGGUAAAACUUGAUUAUUAUGAAGUGAUUAAGUUUUUUAAGAAAAUUUGGUGCAUUGAUUAUCUAUAGAACACUUCAAACAUUUUAAGCCAACCCAAACCUUACCAAAAUCAUCUACUCUAAAACCUUCAUAAUAUUACUAAAUAUUUAGAAAGUGUAGUGGUUGGACGAUGUCAUUCUUGGAAUCCCAACAAUUUGGCAUAUAUUGGGCUUUGUCUUUUUUGGGUUCACCAGGUGUGUUGCCGUUCACGGCCCUAGACGUAGGUGUGUACGGGUUCAACUCACUAAAUAGAUGGAAUUCACAGCUCUAAAAUUGUUUGUGCAGGAAGGCGCAAAAGUUCAAUCACGGGGACUAAUACAACCAAGCUUUAGGCCGGUCAAUUGUUUGUGUCUUUAGCUCUUGCUUUUAUAUGUCUAUUUUUAUUAUUAACUCAGAUAUAUAACCAAAAAGGAGAGUAACGUCUUUCAAAAUAUAAGUUUUAAUAGAUUUUCAUUUACUUAAUGUUGAUUUUGCAUCUCCUACGACUUGAUCCAAAAGACGCUUUACAUCUUUUGCACGGUUCGUUUAAGACCAAACACUAUCGGUAAUGUUUUGUUUAUUGCUUUUUGUACAUAGGGUUUUCCGCCGCAAUGCGCGAACAGGUAAAAACCUAAUUAAUACAUAUAUAACAAUUUCCUAAAUUAUUGAGACAAGUGACAUCAAAACAAAAAAUAUUAGGAAUUUAGGGAAAAUCACGAAAAUAGCCAAAUCAACGCCGUUUUUUCCAUUUUGGCCAAUGGCCACCCCUCACCGAGCCGUUUCAGCAUGCUGAAACGGCACAAGAUUUUCUUUUAAUGGCCAGCCAACCAUUGAGUGCCACGUGUCCGACAAAGCCUGUAACGGCUUGAGGAUGCUGCAGUCCACGCCACGUGUCCGACCAACGUUGAAAGAUCUUAGCCAAGCCGUUACAAUCGGCUCCUGUUGAAAGAUCUUAGCCGAGUUCCUUCAGUGAGCCAAGCCGUGUGCUUUGGUUGGAGCUGAGCCGUUACCGUACCCACGUGGACCCCACUGCUGCCAGCCAAGCCGUUACAGCUGGCUCCGAGCCGUUUCGCCCCAUUGUUUGUGCCGUCUCAACUGCUCCGAGCCGUUUGUUUCAGCUGGCUCCGAGCCGGUACAGCUGUCUUAAGCCGUUUCAACCUAUACUUCGAGCCGGGUCAAUAUGUUCGAGCCGUUUGACCGUCUGUUCCCCUAUAUAUUUACCCACUUGUUUUUUUUUUGUUUGCUUGUUAAACGGAUCCCUCUACCACACUUAAAUCUCAUAGAAAAUGUUAGGGAUAUCCUGCUUUCUUUAUUUGAUUGUCAUAGAUGUUUUCGUGUAUCAAAGGCAAGAAAUAUUUAUGAAACCUCACGUAUCUGUUAGUGUAAAAGACGUGUUCCUGGGCUUUAAUUGUCAAAUUAGCUUUUGAUAUUGUUUCUCAUAUUGGAGUGUCCUUCUCUUCAGAAAUUCCACCUCUACUUACCCAGUGAGUGUGGAUGGAAUUUUCGAGUUCAAGACGCAUCUUUAUCAUUGCUACAAGCGUUUUGACUCGAAUUCCAGAAGAAGAGAUUUGGUUCACUCCUAACUUUCAAUUUCCUCUCGGUUAUCAACCGAGUCAUAAGCAGCGGUUUGGCGAAGUUAUGUUGUUAUCUGAAGACUGCUUGCUUGGAGACCGAGGAGACCGAGCUUUUUUCUCUACUAGCCGUUUCAGCGGUUUGGCGAAGUUAUUUUUGUAUUUUUACAUGUUAUAUCUUUUAUGUAAUUUGUAUUAAAUAAUAAUAAAAGUUUACUUGUUUUUCAUGCAAAUAAUUUUAAAUCUGUUUGGGCU